AUUGAACGCUGGCGGCAUGCCUUACACAUGCAAGUCGAACGGUAACAGGUCUUCGGAUGCUGACGAGUGGCGAACGGUUGAGUAAUACAUCGGAACGUGCCCAGACGUGGGGGAUAACGAGGCGAAAGCUUUGCUAAUACCGCAUACGAUCUCAGGAUGAAAGCAGGGGACCGCAAGGCCUUGCCCGUUUGGAGCGGCCGAUGGCAGAUUAGGUAGUUGGUGGGAUAAAAGCUUACCAAGCCGACGAUCUGUAGCUGGUCUGAGAGGACGACCAGCCACACUGGGACUGAGACACGGCCCAGACUCCUACGGGAGGCAGCAGUGGGGAAUUUUGGACAAUGGGCGAAAGCCUGAUCCAGCAAUGCCGCGUGCAGGAUGAAGGCCUUCGGGUUGUAAACUGCUUUUGUACGGAACGAAAAGGCUCUGGCUAAUACCUGGGGCACAUGACGGUACCGUAAGAAUAAGCACCGGCUAACUACGUG
This 482-nucleotide ribosomal RNA is filed under the name uncultured bacterium. RNAcentral's name for it is "partial 16S ribosomal RNA". It matches the Rfam family "Bacterial small subunit ribosomal RNA", at positions 30 to 507 of the family's 1533-position model. The record is from RNAcentral.